Molecule: ribosomal RNA, 253 nt
Filed under: uncultured bacterium
Lineage: Bacteria
Description: partial 16S ribosomal RNA
Rfam family: Bacterial small subunit ribosomal RNA
Source: RNAcentral
UACGGAGGGUGCAAGCGUUGUUCGGAAUUAUUGGGCGUAAAGCGCGCGCAGGCGGUCCUUUAAGUCUGAUGUGAAAGCCCACGGCUCAACCGUGGAGGGUCAUUGGAAACUGGGGGACUUGAGUACAGAAGAGGAGAGUGGAAUUCCACGUGUAGCGGUGAAAUGCGUAGAGAUGUGGAGGAACACCAGUGGCGAAGGCGACUCUCUGGUCUGUAACUGACGCUGAGGCGCGAAAGCGUGGGGAGCAAACAGG